CCUACGGGCGGCAGCAGUGAGGAAUAUUGGUCAAUGGGCUUACGCCUGAACCAGCCAAGUCGCGUGAGGGAAGACUGCCCUAUGGGUUGUAAACCUCUUUUGUCAGGGAGCAACGCCGGCUACGUGUAGCCGGACUGAGAGUACCUGAAGAAAAAGCAUCGGCUAACUCCGUGCCAGCAGCCGCGGUAAUACGGAGGAUGCGAGCGUUAUCCGGAUUUAUUGGGUUUAAAGGGUGCGUAGGCGGAAUGCCAAGUCAGCGGGAAAAUCGCGGGGCUCAACCUCGCUCCGCCGUUGAAACUGGCGUUCUUGAGUGGGCGAGAAGUAUGCGGAAUGCGUGGUGUAGCGGUGAAAUGCAUAGAUAUCACGCAGAACUCCGAUUGCGAAGGCAGCAUACCGGCGCCCAACUGACGCUGAAGCACGAAAGCGUGGGUAUCGAACAGGAUUAGAUACCCGGGUAGUC
This 460-nucleotide ribosomal RNA is filed under the name uncultured bacterium. RNAcentral describes it as "partial 16S ribosomal RNA". It matches the Rfam family "Bacterial small subunit ribosomal RNA", at positions 338 to 795 of the family's 1533-position model. The record is from RNAcentral.